AUACGAAGGGGGCAAGCGUUGUUCGGAAUAACGGGGCGUAAAGCGCACGUAGGCGGAAUGUUAAGUUAGAGGUGAAAUCCCAGGGCUCAACCCUGGAACUGCCUUUAAUACUGGCAAUCUAGAGACCGAGAGAGGUGAGUGGAAUUCCGAGUGUAGAGGUGAAAUUCGUAGAUAUUCGGAGGAACACCAGUGGCGAAGGCGGCUCACUGGCUCGGUACUGACGCUGAGGUGCGAAAGCGUGGGGAGCAAACAGGAUUAGAAACCCUAGUAGUCC
Molecule: ribosomal RNA, 274 nt
Filed under: uncultured bacterium
Lineage: Bacteria
Description: partial 16S ribosomal RNA
Rfam family: Bacterial small subunit ribosomal RNA
Source: RNAcentral